CCCCUAGAUGUUCUGGGCUGCACGCGCGCUACACUGACAUACUCAGCAAGUUUCCUUUCCCGAAAGGGUUGGGUAAUCUUGUUAGUGUAUGUCGUGAUGGGGAUAGAAUAUUGUAAUUAUUGCUCUUUAACGAGGAAUUCCUAGUAAGCGCAAGUCAACAGCUUGCGCUGAUUACGUCCCUGCCCUUUGUACACACCGCCCGUCGCUCCUACCGAUUGGGUGAUCCGGUGAAUGGUUCGGACUCUGGCUAUGCUAGCUACUAGCUACGUCAGGGAAAGUUCUGUGAACCUUAUCACUUGGAGGAAGGAGAAGUCGUANCA
This 320-nucleotide ribosomal RNA is filed under the name uncultured eukaryote. RNAcentral describes it as "partial 18S ribosomal RNA". It matches the Rfam family "Eukaryotic small subunit ribosomal RNA", at positions 1470 to 1796 of the family's 1831-position model. The record is from RNAcentral.